This 372-nucleotide ribosomal RNA is filed under the name Triticum aestivum (bread wheat). RNAcentral's name for it is "partial small subunit ribosomal RNA". The record is from RNAcentral. Lineage: Eukaryota; Viridiplantae; Streptophyta; Magnoliopsida; Poales; Poaceae.
AUGUCGUCGUCGUCGAUUGGUUCCGCCUGUUCACACGGCGGAGCGAUUCGACGGAGAGGCGCUGCAGCUCGGUCGCCGGUGCCGUAUCGUGAGCAGCCGAUGGAGUACGAGCCGGCGGUUUUCUGCGGCCGCUGCGGGAGGAAGGCGCCGCGGUGGAUAUCAUGGAGUGUGGCGAACCCUGGACGGAGAUAUUAUUCAUGCGUCGAAGCUCAGGUAUGCUCUGUGCUCUGUCCUCCUAUGCUCUGUUCAAUUUCUUUGUCUUAUAAACUUCUGUCUUUUGAACAGCAUGGGUUCAUACAGUGGCACGACGACCUAACAUCUCCAUUCCUGCGUGUAUUGCUAGGAGAUCUUCGAGAUAGGGUACGGAGCUAG